This 275-nucleotide small RNA is filed under the name marine eukaryotic metagenome. RNAcentral's name for it is "5' ureB small RNA". It matches the Rfam family "5' ureB small RNA". The record is from RNAcentral.
AUUUGCUGGGGACAAAUAAAAUGAAUAUGGGAGUCGAUUCCACCGGCAGUCAAAAUAUGCCCUUCACCUGCGAGCACCUCAGUUCCAGGACCGAUCACGAUAGUUACUCCGUCCUGAAUAUCUGGGUUGCCUGCUUUACCAAUCCCUGUAAUCCGUCCACCAGUGAUGCCCACGUCCGCUUUAACGACGCCCCAAUAGUCCAAAAUAAGUGCGUUCGUAAUUACCAAAUCCACGGUUUUGGAACUCGGCUCCUGACUCUGGCCCAUGCCAUCUCG